This 495-nucleotide ribosomal RNA is filed under the name uncultured bacterium. Its description in RNAcentral is "bacterial SSU rRNA". It matches the Rfam family "Bacterial small subunit ribosomal RNA", at positions 371 to 885 of the family's 1533-position model. The record is from RNAcentral.
AUGGGCGAAAGCCUGAUGCAGCGACGCCGCGUGAGUGAAGAAGGUCUUCGGAUCGUAAAACUCUGUCCUUGGGGACGAAAAAAUGACGGUACCCAAGGAGGAAGCCCCGGCUAACUACGUGCCAGCAGCCGCGGUAAUACGUAGGGGGCGAGCGUUGUCCGGAUUUACUGGGCGUAAAGGGUGAGUAGGCGGUUAUUUAAGUCAGAUGUAAAAGGCUAUGGCUCAACUAUAGUAAGCAUUUGAAACUGGAUGACUUGAGUGCAGGAGAGGUAAGUGGAAUUCCUAGUGUAGCGGUGAAAUGCGUAGAUAUUAGGAGGAACACCAGUGGCGAAGGCGACUUACUGGACUGUAACUGACGCUGAGUCACGAAAGCGUGGGUAGCAAACAGGAUUAGAUACCCUGGUAGUCCACGCUGUAAACGAUGAGUGCUAGGUGUUGGCUAGCGAUAGUCAGUGCCGACGUAAACACAAUAAGCACUCCGCCUGGGGAGUACGG